RNAcentral lists this ribosomal RNA (687 nucleotides) under Pseudomonas azotoformans. RNAcentral describes it as "bacterial SSU rRNA". It matches the Rfam family "Bacterial small subunit ribosomal RNA", at positions 42 to 724 of the family's 1533-position model. Lineage: Bacteria; Pseudomonadati; Pseudomonadota; Gammaproteobacteria; Pseudomonadales; Pseudomonadaceae. The record is from RNAcentral.
GCAGGCCUAACACAUGCAAGUCGAGCGGUAGAGAGAAGCUUGCUUCUCUUGAGAGCGGCGGACGGGUGAGUAAUGCCUAGGAAUCUGCCUGGUAGUGGGGGAUAACGUUCGGAAACGGACGCUAAUACCGCAUACGUCCUACGGGAGAAAGCAGGGGACCUUCGGGCCUUGCGCUAUCAGAUGAGCCUAGGUCGGAUUAGCUAGUUGGUGAGGUAAUGGCUCACCAAGGCGACGAUCCGUAACUGGUCUGAGAGGAUGAUCAGUCACACUGGAACUGAGACACGGUCCAGACUCCUACGGGAGGCAGCAGUGGGGAAUAUUGGACAAUGGGCGAAAGCCUGAUCCAGCCAUGCCGCGUGUGUGAAGAAGGUCUUCGGAUUGUAAAGCACUUUAAGUUGGGAGGAAGGGUUGUAGAUUAAUACUCUGCAAUUUUGACGUUACCGACAGAAUAAGCACCGGCUAACUCUGUGCCAGCAGCCGCGGUAAUACAGAGGGUGCAAGCGUUAAUCGGAAUUACUGGGCGUAAAGCGCGCGUAGGUGGUUUGUUAAGUUGGAUGUGAAAUCCCCGGGCUCAACCUGGGAACUGCAUUCAAAACUGACUGACUAGAGUAUGGUAGAGGGUGGUGGAAUUUCCUGUGUAGCGGUGAAAUGCGUAGAUAUAGGAAGGAACACCAGUGGCGAAGGCGA